This 371-nucleotide ribosomal RNA is filed under the name uncultured organism. RNAcentral's name for it is "bacterial SSU rRNA". It matches the Rfam family "Bacterial small subunit ribosomal RNA", at positions 527 to 896 of the family's 1533-position model. The record is from RNAcentral.
CGGGGGGGCAAGCGUUGUUCGGAAUUACUGGGCGUAAAGGGCUCGUAGGCGGCCAACUAAGUCAGACGUGAAAUCCCUCGGCUUAACCGGGGAACUGCGUCUGAUACUGGAUGGCUUGAGUUUGGGAGAGGGAUGCGGAAUUCCAGGUGUAGCGGUGAAAUGCGUAGAUAUCUGGAGGAACACCGGUGGCGAAGGCGGCAUCCUGGACCAACACUGACGCUGAGGAGCGAAAGCCAGGGGAGCAAACGGGAUUAGAUACCCCGGUAGUCCUGGCCCUAAACGAUGAAUGCUUGGUGUGGCGGGUAUCGAUCCCUGCCGUGCCGAAGCUAACGCAUUAAGCAUUCCGCCUGGGGAGUACGGUCGCAAGGCUG